GACGAACGCUGGCGGCGUGCUUAACACAUGCAAGUCGAACGGAAAGGCCCUGCUUUUGUGGGGUGCUCGAGUGGCGAACGGGUGAGUAACACGUGAGUAACCUGCCCUUGACUUUGGGAUAACUUCAGGAAACUGGGGCUAAUACCGGAUAGGAGCUCCUGCUGCAUGGUGGGGGUUGGAAAGUCUCGGCGGUUGGGGAUGGACUCGCGGCUUAUCACCUUGUUGGUGGGGUAGUGGCUUACCAAGGCUUUGACGGGUAGCCGGCCUGAGAGGGUGACCGGCCACAUUGGGACUGAGAUACGGCCCAGACUCCUACGGGAGGCAGCAGUGGGGAAUAUUGCACAAUGGGCGGAAGCCUGAUGCAGCAACGCCGCGUGCGGGAUGACGGCCUUCGGGUUGUAAACCGCUUUCGCCUGUAACGAAGCGUGAGUGACGGUAAUGGGUAAAGAAGCACCGGCUAACUACGU
Molecule: ribosomal RNA, 467 nt
Filed under: uncultured bacterium
Lineage: Bacteria
Description: partial 16S ribosomal RNA
Rfam family: Bacterial small subunit ribosomal RNA
Source: RNAcentral